UACAGAGGGCCCGAGCGUUGUUCGGAUUCACUGGGCGUAAAGGGUGCGUAGGUGGUGAGGUAAGUCGGAUGUGAAAGCUCCGAGCUCAACUCGGAAAUGGCAUUGGAAACUACCUUGCUGGAGGGUUUGAGGGGGGACUGGAAUUCUCGGUGUAGCAGUGAAAUGCGUAGAUAUCGAGAGGAACACCAGUGGCGAAGGCGAGUCCCUGGAAAACACCUGACACUGAGGCACGAAAGCUAGGGGAGCAAACAGG
This 253-nucleotide ribosomal RNA is filed under the name uncultured bacterium. Its description in RNAcentral is "partial 16S ribosomal RNA". It matches the Rfam family "Bacterial small subunit ribosomal RNA", at positions 524 to 776 of the family's 1533-position model. The record is from RNAcentral.